This 272-nucleotide microRNA precursor is filed under the name Punica granatum (pomegranate). Its description in RNAcentral is "mir-172 microRNA precursor family". It matches the Rfam family "mir-172 microRNA precursor family". From Rfam's summary of the family: mir-172 has been experimentally verified in Arabidopsis thaliana. Lineage: Eukaryota; Viridiplantae; Streptophyta; Magnoliopsida; Myrtales; Lythraceae. The record is from Rfam by way of RNAcentral.
CUGUUUGCCGAUGCAGCAUCAUCAAGAUUCACAGUCCUCCUUCGAGAGGGCUUUUGCUUCGAUUGAGCUUAAUUUGUGGUUCAUUCAAAUUAACGCUUAUGAGCUGAAGUUAGUCAGGCAAUCGAUCUUGCUUAUAUUGCCCCGAUCUCAAGUAUUGACCGAUUCAAGCCCUAGUGAAAGGAGGGAAAAAGAAAAAAAGAAAAGAAAAGAAAGAAACAGAGCAAAAGCCCCAUUUGAUAUGGGAAUCUUGAUGAUGCUGCAACGGCAAUGAU